CACAUAUUAUAUUAUGUCAUAGUAACAAUGAAUGAUAUUAUUCUAAAUAGUAGGUAUAUCUACUGAACAAAAUUAAUAUAAAUAAUUGUACAAUAUUCGUCUAAAAUAUUUUCUAAAAAUAAUAAUUUAUUAAUAUUAUAUAAUAACAUAUUACCAUAGAUACUGCACGAUUUGUUAGGUUUUACAAUUAUUAUAAUAUAAACGAUAGACACUUCCGAAUAGUUUAAACUGUCCAUAGUUUAGAAUCUAAACACUAAUAAUUCAAUGGUUGCUUCAAGCUUUAAAUGACCUAUUGAAGUAUCGAAUUUUUCAUCGGAAUAUUUUUUUCUGUGGCCGAAUACAUUUAUUCGGAAAAACUAUUCGAACAGUUUUUCCUAUACAAACGAAUGAAAACUAGUCGUAUAGUUAAAGUAUAGGAAUAAUAUUCAGUCCACCAAAUAGUUCGAAUGCGAUCAUCAACUAUCAAAUGGUUCGAUUGUCUAACUAUUUGUAUGUGCCCACCGCUCAUAAUAAUAUACAGUGCAUGUCCAAAGAUAUUUACAACUUUAAUUUAAAAUUAUUCCUGUUUGAUUAAUUCAUAUUCGUCGACACUUUAAUUUUACACCAUAAUAAUUGUGUAUAAUCGUAUAUAAUUGUACUUCAAAAUAUAUAAAUGUAAAUACUUCAUUCGGGAGCACCCUAUAAAACAAUGCCUAUGAAUUUUCGCCAUAGUUGCUCAGGAGAGUGUUUUAGUCAUUGACACUAAUAGUGAAAGGAGGUGGGUAGGGAAGUGUGAUUAGUCCUCCUCUCCCAAUUCAAGAUCUAAUUAAGUAUGUGCUAAGUAUAAAAAAUUUAAUCAAUAUUACACGAGAGACUUAAUAAUAUGGAUGGUAUCAGAUUAAAUCUUAGGGCUAAAGACAUAAAAUGAAAACCGAUUACAUCUUGGGACGUUUGAGAAUGCGAAUAAUUACGAUAAAACAAAACAAAAUAAAAAAAAUAGUACAUUUUUAUCGGGAGCCUACGAUUCACUUAGAUUAACGGUUGAGAUCUAAAUUCAACUGUAGGUACCGGUGUAGUCGUUUAUCGUAAGAGGGCAGCCUCAUCUUUUUUCGAAUCAUUCUAUCGCCGCGCAAUAACUAGCAGUUUCUCAAAUAUUUGCGCAAAUUCAACAAUAUCAACCAUACAAGUAUCAUAUCAGUACUUGGCUGGAAUACGAAACAUCAUAAUCUUCCGAAAACUAUUGUUGAUAUUUUGAUUUAGUAAUUUUGAUCAGUAUCUGUGAUACUGAUAGUUUAGAAUCCAGAAGAAAAAGAUUAAUUUUUGAAAAUUGUUUUAUUAUAUCCUCAUUAUGACUAUGAUAAUUCUAUGACCGUUUCAGCUUGACGUACUUGUAUUAUAAUAAUCAAAAUUUUAACAUAAUUUUUACUUAUAAUUAUAAAGUACGAACAAUUUUUUUAUAAACAGAAAUCUAAAACACCAAAACCGACUCGUGGGGUUGGGACUCGCGAUGUUGCUGGUGUGUGAUAAACGCUAUCGGAUGUCGCAAUAAAUAUUACAUACUUAUUUUGGUACCCACAAUAAACUACUUCCAGAGUGCAGACGUUUCGAAUUUAGAUCCCAACGUGUAAAUAAUGAUUUAUUUCGUGCAAUAUUAGCCACCAUAAUAUCAUUAAUGUUAUACAAUAUGAUAUAAUUUUAUUAAAAUAUAAUUUUUACAUAAGCCGAUUGUACACGCGCGUAAUAAUAUUAUAAUUCUAGUAUAGUUAAUAAUAUAUUCUUUAAUGUUUAAAUCCUUAACGAUAAAAUGCUAAUCCGUGUGUGCGUUUUACACAGUUACGUUAUAAUAGUAUUCAAGUUUAAACCUAUGAUAUUAUGUUGCAGUUUAUUCCACGAGACCGUGUACACAACGUAUCAUUAUAUCGUGACACGGCCGUUAUUACAUACAUAAUACUUUAUAAUAUUCGUAUUAUAUCAAAUAUUACGCAUAAGUAGGUAUCACAUUAUGGGUACGCGUGAAAUAGUAUUCGUUUAUUUGGCCGUCAUUACACUCGCGCGUAUAUUUGCAAUGCAAUUACAAUAUAAUCUUUAAACACUCGAUAUAAAGCGUUUCGAACGCCAUUCAAAUAACAAUAAUUAAAAAAAAAAAAAAAAAAAAAAAAACAAACCCGAUACGAUAGCAUUGCCAUUAGGUAUCUACCUGUUUUAUAAUAAUUUAUACUAUUUCAAUCACGCAGUAUAGCGUCUACAACAGCCAGAUAAUACAAUUCAUAUUGUAUUCUAAAAUAUUGUACACAAAUUAUAAAUUUCUCAAAAUAAUGAAUUAUUAUUAUUUUUAAUCAAAUUACACUGUCGGUUUUAAUUAUUUCAACUCUCUACCGCCACCACAAGCAUUGGUUACAGGAGGUAUAGAUAUUAUUGUAAAUCAUCUAUUUGUCUGAUGUACGAUUUAAUAAUAAACAAAUAAAUAAAAAAAAAAAAAAUGUAUAUAUAUAUAUGUUUGUAUGUUAUACAUAAUACAUACAGAGUGAUUAUUUUAUCACGGACGAUUUUUAGUAAAUUUGAUUUUCUUUUUAACACCUACCUCUUAUCGUACCUUAAAUGAGAAUUGACUUUUGAUUCUCGAAUGGCAACCCCCUUCCCCAUUGUCAACAUGGAUUAGAAAACAUGAUUUUUUCCAGAAAUGUCGGCAUGCAUAACACUUAUACUGAAUGUAUUUACCGUUUUUGAGCUGUAAGUGCGACCGAAGAUGGUAUAAUAUGGAUACUCAAUGGACUAUGAAGAAAAUGACCGCUAAAGUGAAUCUGCUCUUAUCGCCGCCCUGGGCAUAUUUUCACUAGUAUAUAGUUUUGUUACUUUAUACAAAAUUAGUGUAUGCGACACUACGUAUAACAUAUUAUAUUGUAAACGUGUAUUAAAAACCUUGUUCUACGGCGUAAAUUGAAUUUUAAAUUUCCCAUACUAGUGUUGUUUCACCAUUUUCAACGCCCGUGUCCAGCUGAUCCGGAAGAGUCGUUUUGACGGCCACGUCGACAGCAGAUUUAUCAUUAUUCGUUGGGCGUUUAUCAUAAUAUACUAUCUUAUAAUUCGCAGUAAGUAACUAACGUAAUAAAUAAUAAGUGACAAUUUUAAUCUUAGACCGGGAUUGUAUAGGGAAUAGCGGUUAUAAACUGAUCACUCUGUAUAUCUAUAUAUAAAUGAAUACAGCGUUCUUAUAUUAUUAAUACCGUUUCCAUACUUAUUAAUGUCGUGUUACAAUAUCGCGAUAAAAUCUUUAAUAUUUUAGAAUAUUUGAUAGAAAACCAGCUUGAUUCGUACAAUAGUAUUUGCGAUUCGUUCGCGUCGAAUAACUCGAACAUGGAAAUAAUAAAGUCCGAAAGAGGUAGAGAGUCAAUAAAUUCUCCUAAGUAAUUUUAAAUACUUUUUUGUCAGAAAACAUAAAAAUGGGAACAUUAAUUGAUGGCUCUGUAUAGACAAAAAUAAAUUGCGAUGCAAGUAUUAUAACAACUACAGUGAAAGUAGGUAUUACGUUUUUAACUAAUAGAUAAGUCCCCUCUACGUUUUGGGUUUGUUUAUUUUUACAACUAGAUACUAAUGAAAUAUAAGUGUAGUUCACGUAGUCUUGCUUGACUCGAUAGAUAGAAAAAUAUACAAUAUCUAAACUUGGCAACGUUGCCUAAUAAAACGCUAUCAAUCGUUUUAAAACGAUAAAAAAAGGAAAAAAAAAAUCCUUGAUAAGUGACAUUUGUUCGCAAUCGUGUUACAUCCAAUUCUUGCGUAUGCGACAGACAAUGAGAGAAAAUAUCAGUAAGAUCAAGUUCCCUUAUAAUUAAUAAUUAAUUAUUAUUAUUAAUCAUAUUCGUACAGUCUUAGUAAAUCGGAAAGUUCAGCGAGUUAACGGUUAAUGUAAACUCUGUAAAUUAUAGUUAAGUUCAUCGAAAAAAAAAGACAAAGACUUAUCAUGUUUA
Non-coding RNA from Cinara cedri, 3944 nucleotides. The record is from the annotation of a GenBank genome assembly. Lineage: Eukaryota; Metazoa; Arthropoda; Insecta; Hemiptera; Aphididae.